This is a regulatory RNA element of Knoellia subterranea KCTC 19937, 102 nucleotides long. It matches the Rfam family "mraW RNA". The record is from Rfam. NCBI's taxonomy places the organism in Bacteria, Bacillati, Actinomycetota, Actinomycetes, Micrococcales, Intrasporangiaceae.
GAUCCACCCCGGCCCUCGGCCUCCAGCCGACCGGUUCCCGACACGACUUCCCCCGUGCCGGGCCCCGGACGGAUGGGGACCAGGGGCCGGGGAGCGCCCACC